Oncorhynchus tshawytscha (Chinook salmon) is the source of this 303-nucleotide long non-coding RNA. The record is from Ensembl. NCBI's taxonomy places the organism in Eukaryota, Metazoa, Chordata, Actinopteri, Salmoniformes, Salmonidae.
AGCCAACCAGGUUGCCGUUGAAAUGGAUUGUGGGUGAUUAGCUGGGAAUGCUGGAAGAAAGCCGAGGUGCUCUCCGGUGAACCUGCAGCUGGUGCUUGGAGUCAAUGGAGCACCGAUCCAGCAGGACAGGUCCUGCAUAUCAAACAACAUCAAUGCUGGGGAGAGAGCGGAGACCCUUUAGGUCACCAGGCUGCUCGUUAUGGAGCACACCUGUCACCAUCGUUACAACCACCUGCGCGUCAUCAAACUCACCUGGACUCCCUCACUUCCUGUUUACCUGCCCUAUAUAGAGUAUGUCACUCC